RNAcentral lists this ribosomal RNA (235 nucleotides) under uncultured bacterium. RNAcentral describes it as "partial 16S ribosomal RNA". It matches the Rfam family "Bacterial small subunit ribosomal RNA", at positions 116 to 334 of the family's 1533-position model. The record is from RNAcentral.
CGUAAACAACCUGCCUUAAGGAUGGGGAUAACAGACGGAAACGACUGCUAAUACCGAAUACGUUCUAAGCAUCGCAUGAUGCAUAGAAGAAAGGGUGGCCUCUACAAGAAAGCUAUCGCCUUAAGAGGGGUUUGCGACUGAUUAGGUAGUUGGUGAGGUAACGGCCCACCAAGCCGACGAUCAGUAGCCGGUCUGAGAGGAUGAACGGCCACACUGGAACUGAGACACGGUCCAG